AAAAUUAUAGUAUAAUUUUUAUUAUAUCCCAUUGUCAAUGGGAAGAUUCGUGAUUUUA
Molecule: transfer RNA, 58 nt
Filed under: Contracaecum ogmorhini sensu lato Australia
Lineage: Eukaryota; Metazoa; Nematoda; Chromadorea; Rhabditida; Anisakidae
Also listed under: 1 other name
Description: tRNA-Asp
Source: RNAcentral